RNAcentral lists this ribosomal RNA (339 nucleotides) under uncultured soil bacterium. Its description in RNAcentral is "bacterial SSU rRNA". It matches the Rfam family "Bacterial small subunit ribosomal RNA", at positions 26 to 356 of the family's 1533-position model. The record is from RNAcentral.
AGAUUGAACGCUGGCGGCAUGCCUUACACAUGCAAGUCGAACGGCAGCACGGGAGCAAUCCUGGUGGCGAGUGGCGAACGGGUGAGUAAUACAUCGGAACGUGCCCAAUCGUGGGGGAUAACGCAGCGAAAGCUGUGCUAAUACCGCAUAAGAUCUACGGAUGAAAGCAGGGGAUCGCAAGACCUUGCGCGAAUGGAGCGGCCGAUGGCAGAUUAGGUAGUUGGUGAGGUAAAGGCUACGACCAAGCCCUUCGAUUCCUGUAGCUGGUCUGAGAGGACGACCAGCCACACGUGGGACUGAACGACGACGGCCCAAGACCUCCGUACGGGAGCAGCAGGU